GCUGGAAUAGCUCAGUUGGCUAGAGCGUGUGGUUGUUAACCACAAGGUCGGAGGUUUAAGCCCUCUUUUUAGCG
This is a transfer RNA of Ipomoea nil (Japanese morning glory), 74 nucleotides long. It matches the Rfam family "tRNA". From Rfam's summary of the family: Transfer RNA (tRNA) molecules are approximately 80 nucleotides in length. Their secondary structure includes four short double-helical elements and three loops (D, anti-codon, and T loops). The record is from Rfam. Lineage: Eukaryota; Viridiplantae; Streptophyta; Magnoliopsida; Solanales; Convolvulaceae.